This 1398-nucleotide ribosomal RNA is filed under the name metagenome. RNAcentral describes it as "bacterial SSU rRNA". It matches the Rfam family "Bacterial small subunit ribosomal RNA". The record is from RNAcentral.
GGGUGAGUAAUAUAUCGGAACGUACCAUUCAGUGGGGGAUAACGUAGCGAAAGUUACGCUAAUACCGCAUAUUCUGUGAGCAGGAAAGCAGGGGAUCGCAAGACCUUGCGCUGAUUGAGCGGCCGAUAUCAGAUUAGCUAGUUGGUGAGGUAAAAGCUCACCAAGGCGACGAUCUGUAGCGGGUCUGAGAGGAUGAUCCGCCACACUGGAACUGAGACACGGUCCAGACUCCUACGGGAGGCAGCAGUGGGGAAUUUUGGACAAUGGGGGCAACCCUGAUCCAGCCAUGCCGCGUGAGUGAAGAAGGCCUUCGGGUUGUAAAGCUCUUUCAGCCGGGAAGAAAACGUAUGGGUUAAUACCCUGUGCGGAUGACGGUACCGGAAUAAGAAGCACCGGCUAACUACGUGCCAGCAGCCGCGGUAAUACGUAGGGUGCGAGCGUUAAUCGGAAUUACUGGGCGUAAAGCGUGCGCAGGCGGUUUUGUAAGAUAGGCGUGAAAUCCCCGGGCUUAACCCGGGAACUGCGUUUAUGACUGCAAGGCUAGAGUACGGCAGAGGGGGGUGGAAUUCCACGUGUAGCAGUGAAAUGCGUAGAGAUGUGGAGGAACACCAAUGGCGAAGGCAGCCCCCUGGGUCGAUACUGACGCUCAUGCACGAAAGCGUGGGUAGCAAACAGGAUUAGAUACCCUGGUAGUCCACGCCCUAAACGAUGUCAACUAGGUGUUGGGAGGGUAAAACCUUUUAGUACCGGAGCUAACGCGUGAAGUUGACCGCCUGGGGAGUACGGCCGCAAGGUUAAAACUCAAAGGAAUUGACGGGGACCCGCACAAGCGGUGGAUGAUGUGGAUUAAUUCGAUGCAACGCGAAAAACCUUACCUACCCUUGACAUGCCAAGAACUUUCCAGAGAUGGAUUGGUGCCCGAAAGGGAACUUGGACACAGGUGCUGCAUGGCUGUCGUCAGCUCGUGUCGUGAGAUGUUGGGUUAAGUCCCGCAACGAGCGCAACCCUUGUCGUUAAUUGCCAUCAUUUAGUUGGGCACUUUAGCGAGACUGCCGGUGACAAACCGGAGGAAGGUGGGGAUGACGUCAAGUCCUCAUGGCCCUUAUGGGUAGGGCUUCACACGUCAUACAAUGGUCGGUACAAAGGGUCGCCAAGCCGCGAGGUGGAGCCAAUCCCAGAAAGCCGAUCGUAGUCCGGAUUGCAGGCUGCAACUCGCCUGCAUGAAGUCGGAAUCGCUAGUAAUCGUGGAUCAGAAUGUCACGUGAAUACGUUCCCGGGUCUUGUACACACCGCCCGUCACACCAUGGGAGCGGGUUCCGCCAGAAGUAGGUAGCCUAACCGCAAGGGGGGCGCUUACCACGGCGGGGUUCGUGACUGGGGUGAAGUCGUAACUAGGUA